CGUGAGGAUCUGCCUUCAGGAGAGGGAUAACGACUGGAAACGGUCGCUAAUACCUCAUAUGCCUAAGGGUGAAAAGUUAUAUCGCCUGAAGAUGAACUCGCGUCAGAUUAGCUAGUUGGUGGGGUAAGGGCCUACCAAGGCGACGAUCUGUAGCUGGUCUGAGAGGAUGAUCAGCCACACUGGGACUGAGACACGGCCCAGACUCCUACGGGAGGCAGCAGUGGGGAAUUUUCCGCAAUGGGCGAAAGCCUGACGGAGCAAGACCGCGUGGGGGAUGAAGGUCUAAUGAUUGUAAACCUCUUUUCUCUAGGAAGAUGAUGACGGUACUAGAGGAAUCAGCCUCGGCUAACUCCGUGCCAGCAGCCGCGGUAAUACGGAGGAGGCAAGCGUUAUCCGGAAUUAUUGGGCGUAAAGCGUCCGUAGGUGGUUUUUCAAGUCAGCUGUCAAAGCGUGGGGCUUAACUCCAUAGAGGCAGUGGAAACUGAGAGACUAGAGUGCGGUAGGGGUCGAGGGAAUUCCCAGUGUAGCGGUGAAAUGCGUAGAUAUUGGGAAGAACACCAGUGGCGAAAGCGCUCUGACUGGGCCUGCACUGAUCCUC
This 598-nucleotide ribosomal RNA is filed under the name uncultured organism. RNAcentral describes it as "bacterial SSU rRNA". It matches the Rfam family "Bacterial small subunit ribosomal RNA", at positions 116 to 748 of the family's 1533-position model. The record is from RNAcentral.